This 146-nucleotide non-coding RNA is filed under the name Burkholderia sp. Lineage: Bacteria; Pseudomonadati; Pseudomonadota; Betaproteobacteria; Burkholderiales; Burkholderiaceae. The record is from RNAcentral.
CGUUCACGAAGGCCGAAGUUUAGCGCGUAGAAUAGUCGCCUUGCGAAGCGCGGAAGCCGGUGAGAACCCGGCGCGGUCGCGCCACUGUAAUCGGCAAUGCAUCUAUAAGAGCCGAAAGCCAGACCUGAACUUCGCAACAUUCCUCU